GACGAACGCUGGCGGCGUGCUUAACACAUGCAAGUCGAACGGAAAGGCCCUGCUUUUGUGGGGUGCUCGAGUGGCGAACGGGUGAGUAACACGUGAGUAACCUGCCCUUGACUUUGGGAUAACUUCAGGAAACUGGGGCUAAUACCGGAUAGGAGCUCCUGCUGCAUGGUGGGGGUUGGAAAGUUUCGGCGGUUGGGGAUGGACUCGCGGCUUAUCAGCUUGUUGGUGGGGUAGUGGCUUACCAAGGCUUUGACGGGUAGCCGGCCUGAGAGGGUGACCGGCCACAAUGGGACUUGGGUACGGCCCAGACUUCUACGGGGGGGAGGAGGGGGGAAAUUUGCCCAAAGGGGGGGAGCCUUAUGGAGGGACCCCGGGGGGGGGGAGGCCGGCUUUGGGGUGGAAACCCCCUUCCGCCGGGACGAAGCGGUAGUGACGGUAAUUGGAGAAGAAGCCCCGGCCAACCACCGG
Molecule: ribosomal RNA, 468 nt
Filed under: uncultured bacterium
Lineage: Bacteria
Description: partial 16S ribosomal RNA
Rfam family: Bacterial small subunit ribosomal RNA
Source: RNAcentral